CGCCCGGCCGAGCGCCUUCACUUCACCGAGCACGCUAAAACUUCCGAAGCGCCGACUUUAAAUAUUUGUUUUUAAUUUUCUGGCUCAAAAAUUGGAACUAAGGGGGGUGGCUCCCGCCGCCCCGCUCUGCUUGCACACGGGGGCUGGGUGUUAGCGCUCCCCUGCUCAAACAUUUGCUCCUCGCCCCCCGCCGAAUUAACCCCCCGUGCGGCUCCUAUUAGCUUUUAAUUAGAUUUUCUGCCCCCGCACACGUCCGAGGGACCGGGUUGCGCGGUGGUGGAGCGAGAUUUCUUCCAGAGCCUCUUUGGCUAAACGUAUUUACAAUAACUCGGCUGCCGACCUGCGGUGUCCUCUCGGGGUGAUGCUCCAGAGCUCCUGCCCAGGAGCUGCCCAGGGCUACCUGAGGGUGUUUGGUGAAGGGACUUCUCCCACGAGGAAGAAGGAAAGACUGAAAGAAAAGGCAAGAUAAUCAAAGAGCAAGAAGUCCAAAUGGAGGAAAGGUGGGAGAAUCAUUCCUCGGAGGUGUGUGCAGGGAAACGUGUUGGGAGAAACCUGCCCAUGUCUUCAGCUCCCCGUACCCAGCAAAAAUGCACAAAGCAGGCAGCAGAAGGGCUGAUGUUCUCCAAGCCCACCACAUGGCCAUGGCCAAGAUAGCCCCAAACAAACAGAGGGGGCAGCAAAAUGAAUCCUGGCCGACACUCAUCAGCACCAAGACCCGGGUGCCACCGAACCACCUUGUUUCGAUUGUAGCUCUAGCACUCGGCUGCUCACACCAGCUUCUCCUCAGCCUGGACCAAGUCCUGGGGAGGCGGGUGCACAUUUUGCAGGCCCACAUCGCUGUCCAGGAGAGGUGCAGAAGAUGAAGAGCACGUCUCAGCCCCUGCAGGUCGGGGCCCUGCAUUGUUACUGCAGCGCUGGGGCGAGGGAGCAGGGAGGAACAGGCAGCGACUGUGCUGACGGCGGGCUGGGAAUAGCCUCACUUCUCAUUCUCUCAGACAAGCAAUUAGAGCCAUCU
Anas platyrhynchos (mallard) is the source of this 1015-nucleotide non-coding RNA. The record is from RefSeq and is a predicted model, not a curated record. Lineage: Eukaryota; Metazoa; Chordata; Aves; Anseriformes; Anatidae.